UUAGCUGUAGAACUAAGGAUGAUCUUC
RNAcentral lists this non-coding RNA (27 nucleotides) under Rattus norvegicus (Norway rat). Lineage: Eukaryota; Metazoa; Chordata; Mammalia; Rodentia; Muridae. The record is from RNAcentral.